AUGUUUUACAAUUGGAAAAAGGUCAAUGCCCACCACCAGACUCCCCACCAUCCCGCUACCUCCAUCGCAAUUCACAAUAACCACCACCACAAAUUUUCAGCAUUGACCACUAAAAUCACACCAUUGUCAUUGCCAAUUAUCGGAAAAAAAAUACCCGCCACCAAAUUCAUCACCCAUCACCACAUCCACCGCCAAAUAUUACAACCAUUACAAACUUCGUUCGAGCUCAAGGUGGAGAACGGUGAGGAUAAGAAGUCAAUAAGUGAAAGAAGCUAAAUUUAAAGAAAUAAGAUGGCUGUGAUUGAAAAAAAAAAAGAAGGAGAAAAGAAGUGGGAUAAGAUGAACAAAAGAAGACGAGAGGAGGGUUGUCGAUGGAGAAGAGAAGGGGUGAAUAAUUUUACAUUGAAUGAAUCAAACUGCGGAUUGGAUGUACCUUUUUGAAUUCAAUGAGAAGAAACUACUGGAUUCUGCUCUCUCCUCUACCCCUUUCAAGAUGUCUUGGAGUAGGUGCUGCUUGGAAAACAGCAAAUGUGGAACCAGGUUCAACAGUAGCUAUCUUUGGUUUGGGUGCAAUUGGGUUGCAGAGGGAGCAAGGCUAUGUGGUGCUACCAGAAUUAUCGGCGUAGAUAUAAACUCGGACAAGUUUGAAAUAGGGAAGCAAUUUGGAGUUACUGAGUUUGUCAAUUCCAAAAGCUGUGGGGAUAAACCUGUUAGUCAGGUAGAUGUUGGCUUCAGGUCAAUUUUGGGCAAAGAGAAAUCAACAAUUCUGCAUAUAAAGAAGGUAAGUGAGAAAGGAAGAAACAGUAGUAGUGGAAGCUAAAAGGAGAUGAAAUUAGAUGACUAAAAAGGCGCUCAAUAAGUGGGAUAAAAAAAAGAACAAUAACUUUGUUUAUCAUUUGGGAUCAGCGAAAGCUUGCAGCACAACUUGCUGCCUUUUCUAAAGGAAGCUACAUUGCCUAAAUUUGACCUGUGACCUCUUCUACUUGGACCAGAGGGUGGUAUUCUGCGUUUGACCAGAAAAUGACGACAAUUACUAUUACUCAUGCUGCUCCCACUUCUUGCACAGUUGCAGCCAUUAAUAUGACCAUCUUCACAACAAGGGAGGAGGAUACGCAAAGUUUACGAACUAAGCUGGCCAUGCAAUAUAUUUACUGAUGGAGUGUGUGUUCGUUUGGUUGUUUUGUCUUUGGGUAUGUGAAGGGAAAGCAUUUAUAUGUAGUCGUGUUUAAUUUGUAUAUAUAAUAAUGAUAAAGUUUUGAAAGGAUUAAAAAGCAGAUUAUAUUUUAUUUACAAUAUUUUGCUUUAGUUUCAAGAGUAAAGCGGUCAGCAUGGGCUUGGGAGUUACUUAUUGAAUGGUCAUUCUAAGUUUGAAGUUGAAGAUGGAGUUGUGUUUGGUUAUAGUUUUUGCAAAUGUAUAUAUCUUCUUUUCUGGGUUGAACAUAGUUUAUUAAUUGUAGUUCUAUCAGUGUUCCCGUCAAACUUUAGUUUAACAUGCUUAGUUGCAUCUUCUGCCUCCAUUUUUGAGAAAAUUAAAAUAGAUAGGGGCAUGUUUUGAAAGAUACUUGUGAGCUGAUUUUGCCUUUUGGUCUUUGCAUAAGUAUUGAUCUUUCUUCAACUAAAGCAAAAGCAGCAAGCAGAAAGACAUAUUUUGGCAUGCUUCUCCCAUUUAAAAUUGAAUUGCUAUCAGUUGAUUAAUUUUACUAAGUUUCCUUUUGUUUUGCGCUUGCUGCCAUCCUAUUCUUAUAGGAUUAUAUUUUUAACUUAUUGUAGUUUCAUAAUUAUCUCUUUCUAAAUUAUCGAAUUGUGAAGUACAUUUAAAUCAGAAUAAGCGCGGGCAUCACUAU
Lycium ferocissimum is the source of this 1844-nucleotide RNA transcript. It is a transcript of the gene named alcohol dehydrogenase-like 1, with no coding region annotated. The record is from RefSeq and is a predicted model, not a curated record. The transcript is spliced from 8 exons. NCBI's taxonomy places the organism in Eukaryota, Viridiplantae, Streptophyta, Magnoliopsida, Solanales, Solanaceae.